Molecule: transfer RNA, 72 nt
Filed under: Ornithorhynchus anatinus (platypus)
Lineage: Eukaryota; Metazoa; Chordata; Mammalia; Monotremata; Ornithorhynchidae
Rfam family: tRNA
About the family: Transfer RNA (tRNA) molecules are approximately 80 nucleotides in length.
Source: Rfam by way of RNAcentral
AGCAGCGUGGCUCAGUGGAAAGAGCACAGGCUUGGGAGUCAGAGGUCACGGGUUCGAAUCCCGGCUCUGCCA